RNAcentral lists this long non-coding RNA (2614 nucleotides) under Homo sapiens (human). Its description in RNAcentral is "HSALNT0010506". The record is from RNAcentral. Lineage: Eukaryota; Metazoa; Chordata; Mammalia; Primates; Hominidae.
GGGGCCUAGUGGUAGAUGUCUGGGUCAUGAGGGUGGAUCAUGACCCAGCAGGCACCAAGUGACAUGGCUGCUCCUGCUUUGCCUUCCACCAUGGGAAAAGCUCCCUGAGGCCUCCCCAGAAGUCAGGCAGAUGCUGGCACCAUGCUUGUACAGCCCACAGAACUGAGAACCAAUUAAACCUCUAUUCUUUAUAAAUUACCCAGUCUCAGGUAUUUCUUCAUAGCAAUGCAAGUACAGAAUGUACAUGAAACUGGUAAAACUCAUUGACUUAGAGAUGUGUUCAUCAACUGUAACUGAGCAGAUUAUUUACAUUAAAUAACUAGCUAAAAAAGAAAUACCAUCCAAUCAGACAAACAGCAGCCUAACAACAAAACUGUAUUAGGACAAUGGUGAUGUUUUAUUUAUCCUGGCAGAUUCCAUUAUGCCUCACCACAGAAAGCAUCUAUUACCUACUUAUUGAAUAAACACAGUACUAAUCAUUGGUAGAGGGUCUGAGACUGAACAAUGUUACCAGUGUUAUUCAGCAUUGUGUAGUGAGAAGGAAACAGAUAUUUAAUAAUCAGAUGAAUAUUCAAAAUUCAACAUGUGUUACUUGACAUUGAACAGGUGAUUUUAGCUCUCCAGAGCCUUUCCUGAUUUGUAAAAUGACAUCUCUGAGGACUAUUGUGAAGAUGAAUGAGUAAACAUGUGCAAGUUCACUGUUAAUGGGGAUGAAGGUAUAGUAUUAUUUUGAACACCAUUAUUAGUUUUGUAUGAAUAUUAGCCAUCUCAUGAUGGGAGUGACUAUGUCCUGAUAAUCCAUUGCUUUCUCUCCUAAGGUUUAGGGGAAGUUUUUGCAAUUCCCAAAUGGUUUUGUCUUUUAAAUACAGAAAGCAGAAAUUCAUAAGUAAAUGUGAAGGCAACUAGAGGUUCCAGUUCUUACCCAGUAUUUGAUUUCUAGGCAGGAACACCAGCCAUUUGGGCAUUCAGGCACUGGAGAAGUUAAUGCCUUUUGUUUCCUUUACAUCAAGACUGAAGAUAUGAGAGAUACAUUUCCUGGAGUCACAGAGAUACAUGCAGGUAAUAGUAGAAAAUUUUACCUGAGUUAGAGAAAGACUGAAAUCUACUCAGUAAGUCCCAAGCUGUACAUUUAGACAUGGUUGGUAAAGUUCCUGAACUCUAAACAGAAGAUCUUAUAAACAUCCAGGCAGAAAGAACAAGUUACUUAUAAGGAAAGAGGUUACACUGGCAAUGAAAGAGCCAGUCUAUCCACCCUGAGACAAACAGCAUCUAUCCACCCUGAGAGAAUGGACUGCCUCCAGUGAUCCUUUACCUGGCCAAUUAAUUAUUCAUCUUUCAGGGCAAAAGAAAAGUAACUAGAAAAGAGGCCUCAAGAUGGAAUUAGAGAAUAGGAAACACUGGUUACUCAUGUAAAUUUAAAUUUAAUUGGGGAGGGAUAGAUUUCUUAGGAUUAUGACAAUAAGGACGCAAAAUUUAGAAGAGAAGGGUAGCAAAAUCAUUCUGAAGUUCUCACUGUGACAGCAGUGAAGGAGGUAAGUAUAUUCUCAAGAAGGACAGGGAACUGUUCUGCCAUUAUUAGAAUAUAGUAUUAACUCUGCAAUCAAAUAAAUAUGGUAUUGAUUAAGAAAAAGACAAAAAGAAUAGUUGAACAGAAUAGAGAUUCCAGAUGCAGAUCCUAGGUUACACAAGAAUUUGAUAUGUGACAAAGUUGUUUAAUUCUGUUAGACAAAGAAAAACUGUUCAGUAAGUGGUGUUGAUAUCCAUUUUUGGUAUAAGAAAUGGACUCCUAUAUAAUACUGUAAAAGCCAAAGUAAAUUCCAGAUGGGUUAAAACAAUUUUUUAAAAAAUAUCUAGAAAACUACAUGUAUUAUCUAAGAAAAGAGGUAUUUCUCUCUGUCCUAUAUUAUUCUAUACAAAUAUAUGCAUAAAAAUUAACCAAAAACUCCUCAAUCAAUCCAAUAAAAGUUGGAAAAGGAAUCCUUAAGAAAGCACAAUACAUAGAAACCAUAAUAUGUUAAGAGUAAGUGUAAACAUAUGCACAAAAAUAUGAAUCGUUGUAUUUACCUACUCAUCUUAACUUGGGUGAAAUAAUAAGAAAAUCUAGCUCUACGUCCAAAAUAAACUGACAUUAGGAAAGAAGGAAAAAAGAUAUCCCUCCUUUUUUUUUUGUAUUUGAAAAACUGAACAAUCUACCAAGUAGAUAUAAUAGCAACGAACCUCUAUAUACUUAAAAACAAGGUUAAAAAAUAAACUGAGGUUUAGCAGAAACAGAUACAAAACAAUCACACUGAGAUCCUAAACUAUCUUUCAUAGAAUCUGACAAAUUAUAUAGAAAAUAGAUGAGUAGGCCGGACACAGUGGCUCGUGCCUGUAAUCCUAGCACUUUGGGAGGCCGAGGCGGGUGGAUCACCUGAGGUCAGGAGUUCAAGACCAGCUUUGCCAACAUGGCUAAACUCCACCUCUACUAAAAAAUACAAAAAUUAGCCACGCACGGUGGCAGGCACCUGUAAUCCCAGGUACUUGGGAGGCUGAGGCAGGAGAAUCGCUUGAACCCAGGAGGCGGAGAUUGCAGUGAGCCGAGAUUGUGCCACUGCACUCCAGCCUGGGCAACAGA